This 253-nucleotide ribosomal RNA is filed under the name uncultured bacterium. RNAcentral describes it as "partial 16S ribosomal RNA". It matches the Rfam family "Bacterial small subunit ribosomal RNA", at positions 524 to 776 of the family's 1533-position model. The record is from RNAcentral.
UACAGAGGUCUCAAGCGUUGUUCGGAUUCAUUGGGCGUAAAGGGUGCGUAGGUGGCGCGGUAAGUCGGGUGUGAAAUCUCGGAGCUUAACUCCGAAAUUGCAUUCGAUACUGCCGUGCUCGAGGACUGGAGAGGAGACUGGAAUUCAUAGUGUAGCAGUGAAAUGCGUAGAGAUCAUGAGGAAGACCAGUGGCGAAGGCGGGUCUCUGGACAGUUCCUGACGCUGAGGCGCGAAGGCCAGGGGAGCAAGCGGG